CAGUCGAGCGAACUGAUUAGAAGCUUGCUUCUAUGACGUUAGCGGCGGACGGGUGAGUAACACGUGGGCAACCUGCCUGUAAGACUGGGAUAACUUCGGGAAACCGAAGCUAAUACCGGAUAGGAUCUUCUCCUUCAUGGGAGAUGAUUGAAAGAUGGUUUCGGCUAUCACUUACAGAUGGGCCCGCGGUGCAUUAGCUAGUUGGUGAGGUAACGGCUCACCAAGGCAACGAUGCAUAGCCGACCUGAGAGGGUGAUCGGCCACACUGGGACUGAGACACGGCCCAGACUCCUACGGGAGGCAGCAGUAGGGAAUCUUCCGCAAUGGACGAAAGUCUGACGGAGCAACGCCGCGUGAGUGAUGAAGGCUUUCGGGUCGUAAAACUCUGUUGUUAGGGAAGAACAAGUACGAGAGUAACUGCUCGUACCUUGACGGUACCUAACCAGAAAGCCACGGCUAACUACGUGCCAGCAGCCGCGGUAAUACGUAGGUGGCAAGCGUUAUCCGGAAUUAUUGGGCGUAAAGCGCGCGCAGGCGGUUUCUUAAGUCUGAUGUGAAAGCCCACGGCUCAACCGUGGAGGGUCAUUGGAAACUGGGGAACUUGAGUGCAGAAGAGAAAAGCGGAAUUCCACGUGUAGCGGUGAAAUGCGUAGAGAUGUGGAGGAACACCAGUGGCGAAGGCGGCUUUUUGGUCUGUAACUGACGCUGAGGCGCG
This 715-nucleotide ribosomal RNA is filed under the name Priestia aryabhattai. Its description in RNAcentral is "bacterial SSU rRNA". It matches the Rfam family "Bacterial small subunit ribosomal RNA", at positions 59 to 755 of the family's 1533-position model. Lineage: Bacteria; Bacillati; Bacillota; Bacilli; Caryophanales; Bacillaceae. The record is from RNAcentral.